RNAcentral lists this unclassified non-coding RNA (313 nucleotides) under uncultured Glomus. RNAcentral describes it as "SSU rRNA". It matches the Rfam family "Eukaryotic small subunit ribosomal RNA", at positions 569 to 887 of the family's 1831-position model. The record is from RNAcentral. Lineage: Eukaryota; Fungi; Glomeromycota; Glomeromycetes; Glomerales; Glomeraceae.
AGCAGCCGCGGUAAUUCCAGCUCCAAUAGCGUAUAUUAAAGUUGUUGCAGUUAAAAGCUCGUAGUUGAACUUCGGGGUCUACCCAUUGGUCAGGCUUAAUUGUCUGUACUGGUGAGAUGGAUCUCUACCUUCUGAGGAACUUUCAUGCCAUUUAUUUGGUGUGGUUGGAAAUCAGGACUGUUACUUUGAAAAAUUGAGUGUUUAAAGCAGACUAUCGUCUGAAUACAUUAGCAUGGAAUAAUGAAAUAGGACGGACUGAUUCUAUUUCGUUGGUUUCUAGGAUCACCGUAAUGAUUAAUAGGGAUAGUUGGGG